CCUACGGGAGGCAGCAGUGGGGAAUAUUGCGCAAUGGGGGCAACCCUGACGCAGCAACGCCGCGUGAUUGAAGAAGGCCUUCGGGUUGUAAAGAUCUUUAAUCGGGGACGAAUUUUGACGGUACCCGAAGAAUAAGCUCCGGCUAACUACGUGCCAGCAGCCGCGGUAAUACGUAGGGAGCAAGCGUUAUCCGGAUUUACUGGGUGUAAAGGGCGUGUAGGCGGGCAUGCAAGCCAGAAGUGAAAUCUGGGGGCUUAACCCCCAAACUGCUUUUGGAACUGCGUGUCUUGAGUGAUGGAGAGGCAGGCGGAAUUCCCAGUGUAGCGGUGAAAUGCGUAGAUAUCUGGAGGAACAUCAGUGGCGAAGGCGACUAUCUGGCACAUAACUGACGCUGAGGAGCGAAAGCGUGGGUAGCAAACAGGAUUAGAUACCCUAGUAGUC
RNAcentral lists this ribosomal RNA (441 nucleotides) under uncultured bacterium. Its description in RNAcentral is "partial 16S ribosomal RNA". It matches the Rfam family "Bacterial small subunit ribosomal RNA", at positions 338 to 795 of the family's 1533-position model. The record is from RNAcentral.